UAUGGGCCAUCCAAGAGAGAGAGUCG
This 26-nucleotide non-coding RNA is filed under the name Rattus norvegicus (Norway rat). Lineage: Eukaryota; Metazoa; Chordata; Mammalia; Rodentia; Muridae. The record is from RNAcentral.